UACGAAGGUGGCAAGCGUUGUUCGGAAUUAUUGGGCGUAAAGGGCGCGUAGGCGGACUCGUAAGUCGAUUGUGAAAUACCUGGGCUUAACCCGGGAACUGCAGUCGAAACUGCAAGUCUUGAAUGCUCGAGAGGAUGAUAGAAUUCCUGGUGUAGAGGUGAAAUUCGUAGAUAUCAGGAGGAAUACCGGAGGCGAAAGCGGUCAUCUGGCGAGACAUUGACGCUGAGGCGCGAAAGCGCGGGGAUCAAACAGG
Molecule: ribosomal RNA, 253 nt
Filed under: uncultured bacterium
Lineage: Bacteria
Description: partial 16S ribosomal RNA
Rfam family: Bacterial small subunit ribosomal RNA
Source: RNAcentral